GGACCGCUGGCGCAACGGCAGCGCGUCCGAUUCCAGAUCGGAAGGUUGUCCGUUCAAAUCGGGCGUGGUUCA
Molecule: transfer RNA, 72 nt
Organism: Phialocephala subalpina
Lineage: Eukaryota; Fungi; Ascomycota; Leotiomycetes; Helotiales; Mollisiaceae
Rfam family: tRNA
About the family: Transfer RNA (tRNA) molecules are approximately 80 nucleotides in length. Their secondary structure includes four short double-helical elements and three loops (D, anti-codon, and T loops).
Source: Rfam